Molecule: non-coding RNA, 87 nt
Organism: Tricharina praecox
Lineage: Eukaryota; Fungi; Ascomycota; Pezizomycetes; Pezizales; Pyronemataceae
Source: the annotation of a RefSeq genome assembly
UCCUCCGUGGCGCAAUUGGCUAGCGCGUUCGACUGUUAAACCCCAAAGGCAAUCGAGAGGUUGGUGGUUCAAGCCCACCCGGAGGAG